RNAcentral lists this ribosomal RNA (138 nucleotides) under uncultured eukaryote. RNAcentral describes it as "partial 18S ribosomal RNA". It matches the Rfam family "Eukaryotic small subunit ribosomal RNA", at positions 1299 to 1458 of the family's 1831-position model. The record is from RNAcentral.
UGGUGGAGUGAUUUGUCUGGUUAAUUCCGAUAACGAACGAGACCUUAUCCUGCUAAUUAGAAGCAUUAUUUUAUAACACUGUUUGGCUUCUUAGAGGGACUAUUGUUUAUUAAGCAGCGGAGGUUUGAGGCAAUAACA